RNAcentral lists this long non-coding RNA (531 nucleotides) under Androctonus crassicauda. The record is from RNAcentral. Lineage: Eukaryota; Metazoa; Arthropoda; Arachnida; Scorpiones; Buthidae.
CAAGUACUUACAUCCUGGUGUGAAGGGUGGGGCAAAGCCCCCACCUCCACACGAGUCCUGGCCCUGCGCCUCCUCCGUCCCAUCUCUCCACUUUGGAAUAAACUUUAUCAUAAUAUUCAGUUCAUGGUUUUUAACCAGUUAAAAAUUCGUUUUAAAUUCCAAGGUAACUGCUCCAUAAUCAAGUAACCAAAAAAUUUUUAUUAUGAACAAACGGUAAACUUACAAUUGUUAUAACUUCACAAAAAAAAAAAAAAAAAAAUACUCUUCUAACCGAUGUACAAUUGUCUCCUUAAACAAUACAGCAAAACACCAAUUAAAAACCACUCAUCGACGUCAUCUUUCAUCCGAAACAAGGUGACAAUCAGAAGUAUCCACCACAGUCAAAGCAUAGCGCCAGAGAAGAGCAAGCGCCAUCCAUUGGCAUGUCUUUUUAUAGUUAAUCACAUUUGCAUAUUAUAUUCAAAUAUUAAACAAAAUAUCAAAACAUUAAUUGAAAUAAACCGCACACAAAAAACGGGGCUCCAAACAGGC